ACCGGAUAGGACGAAAGUUUAAAGGUGCUUCGGCACCACUGAUGGAUGAGCCUGCGGCGCAUUAGCUAGUUGGUAGGGUAAAGGCCUACCAAGGCGACGAUGCGUAGCCGACCUGAGAGGGUGAACGGCCACACUGGGACUGAGACACGGCCCAGACUCCUACGGGAGGCAGCAGUAGGGAAUCUUCGGCAAUGGGCGAAAGCCUGACCGAGCAACGCCGCGUGAAUGAUGAAGGCCUUCGGGUUGUAAAAUUCUGUUAUAAGGGAAGAAUGGCUCUAGUAGGAAAUGGCUAGAGUGUGACGGUACCUUAUGAGAAAGCCACGGCUAACUACGUGCCAGCAGCCGCGGUAAUACGUAGGUGGCGAGCGUUAUCCGGAAUUAUUGGGCGUAAAGAGCGCGCAGGUGGUUGAUUAAGUCUGAUGUGAAAGCCCACGGCUUAACCGUGGAGGGUCAUUGGAAACUGGUCAACUUGAGUGCAGAAGAGGGAAGUGGAAUUCCAUGUGUAGCGGUGAAAUGCGUAGAGAUAUGGAGGAACA
RNAcentral lists this ribosomal RNA (536 nucleotides) under uncultured Bacillota bacterium. RNAcentral describes it as "bacterial SSU rRNA". It matches the Rfam family "Bacterial small subunit ribosomal RNA", at positions 168 to 708 of the family's 1533-position model. Lineage: Bacteria; Bacillati; Bacillota. The record is from RNAcentral.